UCCCUGAGUUCAUGCCGUUC
Molecule: microRNA, 20 nt
Filed under: Caenorhabditis remanei
Lineage: Eukaryota; Metazoa; Nematoda; Chromadorea; Rhabditida; Rhabditidae
Description: crm-miR-2231-3p
Source: miRBase by way of RNAcentral